RNAcentral lists this ribosomal RNA (468 nucleotides) under uncultured bacterium. RNAcentral's name for it is "partial 16S ribosomal RNA". It matches the Rfam family "Bacterial small subunit ribosomal RNA", at positions 28 to 507 of the family's 1533-position model. The record is from RNAcentral.
AACGAACGCUGGCAGCGUGCUUAACACAUGCAAGUCGAACGGAAAGGCCCUGCUUUUGUGGGGUGCUCGAGUGGCGAACGGGUGAGUAACACGUGAGUAACCUGCCCUUGACUUUGGGAUAACUUCAGGAAACUGGGGCUAAUACCGGAUAGGAGCUCCUGCUGCAUGGUGGGGGUUGGAAAGUUUCGGCGGUUGGGGAUGGACUCGCGGCUUAUCAGCUUGUUGGUGGGGUAGUGGCUUACCAAGGCUUUGACGGGUAGCCGGCCUGAGAGGGUGACCGGCCACAUUGGGACUGAGAUACGGCCCAGACUCCUACGGGAGGCAGCAGUGGGGAAUAUUGCACAAUGGGCGGAAGCCUGAUGCAGCAACGCCGCGUGCGGGAUGACGGCCUUCGGGUUGUAAACCGCUUUCGCCUGUGACGAAGCGUGAGUGACGGUAAUGGGUAAAGAAGCACCGGCUAACUACGUG